UGGCCGGUACAACGGGGUGCGACACGGUGACGUGGGGCGGAUCCCUGAAAACCGGUCUCAGUUCGGAUCGCAGUCUGCAACUCGACUGCGUGAAGGUGGAGUCGCUAGUAAUCGCGGAUCAGCAACGCCGCGGUGAACGCGUUCCCGGGCCUUGUACACACCGCCCGUCAAGUCAUGAGAGUUGGCAACACCCGAAGUCGGUAGUCUAACCGCAAGGAGGACGCCGCCGAAGGUGGGGUUGAUGAUUAGGGUUAAGUCGUAACAAGGUAGC
This 271-nucleotide ribosomal RNA is filed under the name uncultured bacterium. Its description in RNAcentral is "partial 16S ribosomal RNA". It matches the Rfam family "Bacterial small subunit ribosomal RNA", at positions 1231 to 1500 of the family's 1533-position model. The record is from RNAcentral.